CCUGGGGAAUGUCUUUAAACAUGAAGAUCUGAGGACUUCAGAGAAAUAUUUCAAAGCUUAUAUAGCAAUGCCGCUUAAGUUGGAGAAACAUGACUUGAUGGAAUAGUUGAGCAUUUAACAAAGUAUUAUCAAGAUAAAGGCAAGCUGUGGGGCGGCCUGGUGCCCAAAAGGUACAAGGUGGAGCACAUGAGGCUCUCCAGCCUUCAGACAUCAAAAAGACAUUUCUGCCCUGGGUGGAACCAGUUUCUCCAGACUCAUAUCUUUCUCUCCUCCAUUCUGCUCUGCAGGUGAAAUCUAAGGGCACUCUUACCUAAACAGAUACUGAAUUACAAAUGAAAUCAAUUGUCCUUGGCAAAUCAAGGAGGUUAAGGGGAAAGAUAAACUCUGUUCUACAUCACCUCCCUGACAAGGCAGCAAGCCCGCGGAUAAGAGCAAUGGAGCACUGACGAGUGUAAUGAAAAUUCACAAGUUUGUUCUAGAAAUGACUGGAGGAGACACCACAGGCCCCGUGCUCCCAAGACAUCACCAAUUCUUCUAAGGGAUGCUUGGCCUCUGGGCACGUCUAAUUACCCUUCAAGCAUAAUGUGGUUAUAAAGAGCCUAAGCUGCUGUUGUAUAUGCCUCCCAAGUCUCCCCCCAUCACCUCUGGAGGUGGGGACUUAACCAGAGAACUCUCCCUUUGGAGUAUUUAUGGCCUCAAGGAGGCUGGCUUUAAAACUGAAAUGUUUCUGACACCUGAGCAUCUAGUACACGGAGAUGGGUCCUCUUUGUGUCUAAACUGUAUUUGUUCUAAGGACUCAAGUGUAUCCACACAGGUUUGGAGGGCAUGUGAGGUGGGACCACUAAGACAGAUUUGAUGGAGAUCUGGAAGUCUAAGCCACAACAUUGAUUCAAGGAUACUGGAGCAGUGUCACAGGUAGGGGAGUACCUUCCUUGAAGUAGCCCCUGAGUAUGUUUGAGAUGAAAGGGUGGAUAGAGACUCUCAUAGAAGAGCAAAUGAAAAGGUAAAAUUGCAUUAUUACACUCUCCAGGACACUUGGAGAGAACAAUUAGCCAACAGCAUUGGGGUCAGUAGAACCAGGAACUGGCACUCUCAGCACAAAUGUCAGCAGCCUCCAUAUUACAGAUCAGCUGAUUUCGUGAGGACAUUGGCAGGCUCCAGGCCCAAGGCAGUAGUGGCCAUGCCCUAGGAUAGUUAGGGAUUGAUUAGCACAAGGAGUCAAAGCAGAGCGAUGCCUUUUUCCCUUCUUCACUGGGAAAGAAAUGUAGAGUGUGUGUCCUCUUGUGUCCCCUUCGCUAAGACAAUAGGAUUUACUUGCAGAAUGUAUGUAAGAAACCUGCAGAGACAUCCCAAAAAGAUUCAGUAGGAAUUUGAGAGAGGUUGUCCUUCUUGCAGAGCAUUUGGUGCUGGUGCAACCUCUAAAAUCCAGGUCAAGUUAAAAACAAAAAGGCCGGGUG
Molecule: long non-coding RNA, 1457 nt
Filed under: Homo sapiens (human)
Lineage: Eukaryota; Metazoa; Chordata; Mammalia; Primates; Hominidae
Description: long non-coding RNA NONHSAT188483.1
Source: RNAcentral